This 11387-nucleotide long non-coding RNA is filed under the name Eucalyptus grandis. RNAcentral's name for it is "long non-coding RNA (EGRA_LNC000951)". Lineage: Eukaryota; Viridiplantae; Streptophyta; Magnoliopsida; Myrtales; Myrtaceae. The record is from RNAcentral.
CGUCGCAUCCCUCUGUUUUUUACGUUGGGGAAUCCACCUUUCAUUAUGCUGAUUUUUUUGCCAAGUCAAAAAGGAGUAGAACGCGUGCAUUUAGUGCAAUGUACUUACCAGCAUGUGUCGAGACGCACCAUCGUAAUGCCCGUGACACUUUCUUUAGGGAAAGGGAUGGUAGAACAGCAAAAGAUCUGUACCUUUGUUGAAAAAUGCGACGGGACCGCGAGCUUCAGUAGCAUUCGGAGUAUAGUGACAGCUGUAGAUAGAUUAAUGUCGGAGGUUAGUGAAUAAUUAUUUACGGAGGGAUGGGUUCGAGCUUUUACUGUGUCUCGGGAGUAGCGACACAAUGCAGGUUUGUCGGUACAAGCGUUUCGUCGGUUUGAAAGGGGUACGAGGUUAGUGGGAUUUAACGACUCUAGAUUAACUUAAUUAAGCGGUUUUUCUGUGGGGAAGGGUGAUAUGAUCAUGCUGCAUGUUGGUUGGUUGGAUUCUGGCAGCGUUUCUUUAAUGCCUGCUCUGUCAGACCGUCGGCGGAGUUCCCGUCCUCAAGUCAGUUCAGUUCGCUAAAACGCCCCUCUUCCUUACCCACAUUUACCACCUCGUCUGCCUUAUCCAAUGCCUUCUUUUGGACCACCCACCCUUCGUUCGUGUUCGUUCGUGUCUCUUUCGUUGUUUUUGUCCCUUCAAUUUGGUAAAUGGCUGCAAAAACUGAGAGCCCAUGUUUUCAUUUGACGUAGUAUAGAUCCAAGCCAAACGACUCUUAUUAUAUUGCAACUUUUCUCCGUCGAAUAUUCAAAGUCUGAAAUCUCUGCCUCAAUAUAAAAAAAGUCCUCCCCUUUUGGUAUCGAAAGGAAUCAAAGUUCAGAUUAGUGUUCUCACCAAUAAAUGGACUUAUACGAAGACCAUAAUGCAUGUCAGUGUGGUUUGACCGUACAGUCAAAACGACAAGCGCUGCGGCUGUGCCAGAUUUUGCGCGAAAUGAGUGGCGCGAUUUGUGGACUAGUGCGAGCAAAGUAAAAAAGUUAAAAAAAAAAAAAAAAAAGGAAAGGAAAAGCUGGGUUCCAUCGAACGACUGAAAUGCCCCGUGCUGUCUCUGACGUGAAUUUGCGCGCAGGGUGCCGUGCCGGAAGCGAGGCGGGAUGAGGUUCACCAUCAACGGGUUCCGGUACUUCAACCUGGUGCUGAUCUCGAACGUGGCGGGGGCCGGGGACAUCGUGCGGGUGAGCGUGAAGGGGGCGAGGACCGGGUGGAUGAGCAUGAGCCGCAACUGGGGCCAGAACUGGCAGUCCAACGCCGUGCUGGCCGGCCAGGCGCUCUCCUUCCGCGUCACCGCCAGCGACCGGCGCUCCUCCACCUCCUGGAACAUGGUCCCCGCCGGCUGGCAGUUCGGCCAGACCUUCACCGGCAAGAACUUCAGGGUCUGAGGAGCGAAGCCUCUUUUAAUUCACCGUUUUGUCCUCGCCGCGCCAUUUUCCCACUCUCCAGAAUGCCCUGUUCCUUUUCAUUUUCUCGUUUUGCUGUUUUAACUCGUAAGGUGUUGGGGAAUGUGAAAGUGAACGGAGCGUCAGACUUCUUUUUUGACUUUUUGAUUGGUGGGUCUUUUUUUUCCGUUUUCUGCUUUCCAUUUUCUUUUCUUUUUUGGGGGUGAAGUGUUGAGUGGGGGGGAUUGUUUGGUUAGUAGGGAAGGAGGAAUGUUAGAAGACAUCCUAGGGCUGAGGAGGCGUCUGCAAAAGCACGUGGCCCGCAGCUGAUAUGGCACCUAUGAAGCACUAGUAGUAGACCAGUAACAUUAUGCUCGAGCAAGUUUGAGUAUGUGUAUCUAUAAUUUAUUAUAUAUAUAUAUAUAUAUGUAUGUGACACGUUAUAUUUCUCUUACAUUAUGUAACCAGCAAGUGUAAUGUAGUCGAAUCUAUAGCUGAAUUUGGAAUGGAAUUUGUGUUUGCCUCGUCAUCCUCCUCCACGAACGUCCUUUCAGUGCUCUUUUCCUUUGUUUUGCUGUCUAAUGCUGCAAUGUCUGUCCCAUCCCAGGUGUUCGCACACCUUCGAUGCAACUUAGUCGAAUGGAGAAGUCGAAUUAGAAAUUACUAAGAGUGUUCUUGUAUAUUACACUACAAAUGAGGAUGGAUAUGGGAAAAAUACUUGGUCUUCAGAGAUUUAGAGCACUGGAAAGGAUAUGGAGUUAAUAAAAGAAUGGGGGAUCCUAAAAUUAUUUCUUCAAGAAUUAUUGCUUGUUAUAAUUAUUUUUUCAUGAAAAAGUUCCAAAGGGGUCACAUCAGGAGGAGGACCAAAAAACAUCUAUGGGGGAACCAAAGCUGCACGUGGGUGGGGCCGGGGUCGCUCCCUAAAUGCUUUUCUUCGCAUGUGAAAAUGUCCCUAUUUUCUUCCGUAUUCUCCUCUCCUCUAUUCUCCUCUCUUUUCUCUCCGUUCAAAAAGAGACAGACCAUCUUCGGAUUCCAAGCAUCGGAUGCCCCCCCCGCCCAACUCCCCGUACCCCUUUUCAACUUUUCCCACUAUUUCCCCCGCGCCUCUUCUUUUUUUCCCCUAUCAUUGCGGUAGAUUUGGUUUGGCGAACCAACCGAAUCCAGCUUUCAUGCCCCAACUCAAAGACGCACCAACUAAUUCGGGACGAGGGAACGGACGAGUUGGAGACAAAAACCUCUGUUGCCCGCUCCCCGUACCGUGUAAACGAAUUUCAUAAUCCCCGUCCAUUCCAACUAUAUCUAGGACAAGACACCUUGUUGGCCUGACGUGCUUAAUGGGAGCUAUAAGGCAGGGGGUAACGAUAAGGAGAACAAGAUCCACUCUAGAAAUAUUUUUAUGAUUUUUUUAUUUUUUAUUUAUUUUCUUUCUUGUUUCUUUUUUACAAAGGAUUGGCUCCAUUGGCCCUUGGACGAGGGCGAGGGCUGUGAAGCCCUCGUUGCCCACAAGCAAAGCCCUAGCUUAAUCUAGCAGGGGCAUCAUGAGCCAUCACCUAGGUCGUUGCGACUCAUAGUGAGCGCAUAGCAGCCCUUGCUCCCCUUUGCUAUGAUCGGCAAGGGCCGCGACACUCUCGCCUUAUAGGAUUUGUCAAAGGCUUGAGGGCCGAGGGGUCAACGGGGGUCAUCGACCCACACCUAAGGGCCAGCAAGGUUAUUGGCCCUUGCUCAAUGGCCAACCGCUCGCCCAGCCCUUUGUGAUAAAGGAAAAGGCAAACAUUGUAAAUAUUAAAAAAAAUGUCUAUAUCGGGUCGGUUAUGUCAUGUGGACUGAGUAGUAUCAAUACCAAUAUACAACACGAUACGACACGUCAGUACGUCAUUUCUUAAAAAAUAGAGAAUUCUAACAAACUAUAUAUUAAAUAUGUAUUUUUCGCAUACACGAGAAAUUAUCAUUUUUAUGAUUAUUUUAACCAAAUUAAUUUGAUUUAAAUUCACAAAUAAAUAAAUAAUAACAAAUAGUCAAAAAUAAAUGUACACGAAAAAUAUUUAUCCACAAAUUGUUAAUAUUAUUAAUUAUUUUAAUUUGACAAAGUCAACUCCAUUCCAGUAAUCCAUAAAAUUUGGAGUAAAAAACAAACAAAUAAUCCACAUUAUGGACUUGUGUAUCUGAAUGUGUCGAAGAGAAGAAAAAACAAUUUCGUAAGGUAAAUUGUGUACCACGGGAAGCGAGAGUGAGAAGAUAAAAGAAAAGAAGAUUAGGUUUUUGUCCCUUCCUUCUUUAUUAUUAUAUUUAUUUAUUUGUACAUAUUUUCAUUUUGACAAUUCAUUUAUUGAAAUUUUUUAAAAUUGAUCUCUCAUUUAUUUUGGAAUCGUGUGUCGGAAUUCUGAAUUUACAAAUUAGAAUUCUGGACUCGCAUAUCGUAAAGUAUCAAGAGAGUUGAUCAGUCGUUGAAAAUUUGACACCCGUUAACCCAGUGUUGAAGUGUCCAACACAACACAAAAGUUUCCGGAGAGCGCCGAUACUUCUCACUAUGUAAAACAACCAACACUGUCACAUUGGCAAUAUCUAGCAAAAAUUAGUUAGAAUCGUUAAAAGAAUUAUGAUAAAAUUAGAAAAAUUGAAAGAUUUAAGACUAAAUUAGCAAAUUGAUUGCCAUAGAUAAGUUUACUACUUUUUUAACAAUUUUCCCUGCAAAUACCUACAGCCAUUCUUUUCAUUUGCUCGGUAACAUUGCAUAUAUUCCAACCACAACACCGACAAAUACACUCUCGGUAGCUCGAGUCUUAUAAUGUUCUUGGAAGAUGCGCCCCAGUUGAUUUUAUUCUCGCUCCAACUUCUUCAAGAGGAGGAAAUCAUUUUUGUAUCUCUUCUUCGGCACAGCACCACCAGCAACCCACGCAUCGGCAUGUUCGGAGCAGAAUUGACGAAUACUCUUGUCGCUACUCGAUAGUUCCUGUCAAUUUUGUCUUCCCACCCUUCUUAAUAGCCUGAUUCCUGGCCAUCCUGAUAGGGUGCCCAUAUCACGCUACCAGACAUGGGAAAAUUCCUGCACGCCAUUUAGUGGAUUUGCCUGUAUCAGCAUGUAGGAGUUCCAUUUCAUCCACUCGCGGAUGGGGUUCAUUCCCUCCAUCUUCCAAAUCUAUCGGCCAAGACGAAUUCCUCCAUAAAAUUUUAGAAACACGACAACCCAAGAUGAGUAGGAUUUUGAGGAUUCCCAAGCAGAGCUACGCAGGCCACACUCAGUUUUCACAAUCCCACACCUUGCGAUCUACCAAGAUGAGCGUUAUCCGAAAACCCAUAGCCAGAAGCCACUCAUUUCUAGACAACUUCUUCAGAUCGUUUCGAAUAGAUACGACACAAAAACUAAGAGAACACAGCAAUACCGUCACCCACUGAGAAUUUUCUUGUGGGUUUGCACAUAGCAAAGGAUGCAGCUAUGGUCGUCUAUGAAAGAAUCAAAUUGUAAAUACAUCUCAUAAAUACUCCAUGAGAGCUCCUGUCAAAAGUCAAAGGAAAGUUUGAUUUUUUUCCCUUUAGUCUAAUUGAACGGAAGAGCAAGUACGCCUAUUUUGAAUCGCCUAAUUCUACUUCGAGAAUCUACACUCAGUCAGCUUUAGAAAUCAAGUAUCUGGACUCAACAACUGCAUCCUGAGAUGUGUAUCCGCAACAAGUAGGAGGAUGAAGAUGCCAGACUGCCCACCUGAGUACAUUAAGAGUCUACAUCCAGCAAAAGCACCGUUAAAAUGGACCGCAUGUUCAAAACAAUGCCUAUAAAAAUGUGUGCUUGCAGUACACAUAAGCUAAGCAAGCUAAACAUCAUGUUAAACAGGCACGUAAACCAUCAAUCAGUGUUUCAUUAAUUCUCCAAAAGAGUGUCCAGCUUUAGUGGGGUUCCCCCGGGGGGGGGGGGGGGGGGAAGUAAUAUUAAAAAAUAUCGCACUGCUUUGACAUCUGAAUGAACUUACGUUCGCCAAAGGGUUAAUUGUGGCAAUCUGGUGAAUAGCCCCCCCACACCAUCUCCUUCUUUUUAACUUUUUGUAUUAUAGCUCUUUCAUGCAUAUCAGGUGAACAACUUUCAAUGUACACUCAAGCUGCAGAUGCUUCGUGAACACCCGUUUCUCUUCAUUGCUACAAAAAAAUUCAUACCUCUAAUUCUUCUUCUUCUGGGGUUUCCACAGCUUGAGAAGGUAAGCAACUCCCUCUUUGAGAGAUGCUUUUCUUCCUUCUCUAGGAUGCCAUAGCUCGGGCACAGUGUACCUGCCACUGCCAUUGUACUCAUUCAGCUCUUCGAGGGCCUUUGAUACUGCCUUGAAGACCUCUUCACCAUAAUCAUUCUUAAGGGCUUUUAGCUUUUCAUCUUCUUCAUCAAUAAUUUCCUAUGAAGCCAAAUGACGAAGAGACUUUGAGAAGUAGGAGAGACACCGAUAUGGACAGAAAAGGCUUCUACACCACGAUAUGUAAAAAUCGUGCUGGGUUAACAAGGAUUUACAUGUCAUGGCUGGCUAUCAUGAAACAGGCACACUACAAAAUGCAUCAGCAUACUUUCGUUUGUGAAAUAACAGUGCUUGCCUUGAACCAUGACAUCAAACUAACCAUACUGAAAUGCAAACACGAAGUAGUAGAGGCUUCUAUUCAUUGCAACUCUUCUGUUGGGUGACAAAUGAUCAUUCUUGGCAUGUGAAAUUAGGUUGAUCGGAAAAGUUGCAUGAACUCUUCAGAAUUUCGAAUGAAACCUCCUAAAGAACAUGGCUUCCAUUAAUGUACUAAAAUGCAGAAGAAUGUUAACUAACAUAAACUUGCUAUAAAUAUGGGUAGCAAUGUUAUGUAAGAGAUAUGCUGGUAAUGUUAGUUGCGCAUAAAGUAUACCUUGCGAUUCUCUCCCUCUGUUAUGCCUUUAAAGGGGUACCAUCCGGGAUCUCUUAGAAGUUUUUCCCACUCAGAACAGAGCGUCACGGCCAUUAGAUUUGCUUCUUUCGCAGCAUAUAUUUUUUUUUGCUGCAAUGAGGAACGGCUUGCUGUCAAGUUCUCCCAUUCUUUUGACGCAAAUUUGGGCACCAGUUGUAUUUUCCUUGAAAGUCUGUAGAGCAACGGCAUUAUCAUUUCUGACAGCUCAAAAUCCAUUAUCAGAUCAAAAGGUUGACAUUUUUGGAAACAGGCAAUCGAUGCGUAUUACAUUAACUUUCAAACUGUUUACAUGUCAAGCGCAGUAAGUUAUGCCUUGACGUGAUAACAAAUGCACACAAAAGGGUCUAAGAUAAGGAAACAAAGCAAUUACUUUAAUCAGCUCCUUGCAAGCAUCCUGCAAUUCAUCAUUGUUCCUCCAAUGCUUAACAGUAAGCACUCGACUCAGUUCUUCCUUUGCCUCUAAACUUUCCUCAAUCUCCUUCAUCUUCUGUUUAAGGUCCACGUCGUCGUCAUCCUCCAUGUUUUUCAUAACUUGCACAGCACCUCUCAAUCGCUCAAUGUCCAAUUCCAACGAUUGUUUAUCAUCGAGUUCUCUUUCGAGCUCAAUAUUUUCCCGUGAAGUUUCUCCUUUUCUCUCUGCCAUUAAUAGCAAUGUGGAAGUUUAGAAACUAUUGAGCCAAUAAAGAUCUAGCUAUUGCCUAAGCUCAAAAGAAAAAAAAAAUGCAGAAAUAAAGAAAGCAAACAAGCACCUUCUGAUCUUCUCCCAGCCUCAAGAAAUUAUUGUUUCCUUUCCGCUGCUCCAAAAAUUUCCUUUCAACCUGAAACCAGUUAAACUUGAGUUCUUCUGUGGCAGCGCCAAAAGAUUUAGUUCUCCAUUCCUUCUAGUGGGGUUGGUUGAAUGGGGUUGGUUGUGUUUUCUUUUUUUCCUUUUAUUUCCUGGUUCCCAUUUGUAGACAUCACAGGUUAUAAUAGCCUUUGAUGGUUAAUUUCCCACUUCCCUUACCAAUCUAGUCAAUAACAAGUACUUUCUGGAAUUUUCGAAGCAUUCAGUUUUUUGUCUGAUACACAAAAGGAAUGCUUAUAACGGAGGUAACUUCGUUAUGUGUCGUUCAAUGUUUAGACAUGAUGAGAUCUUAUUCCUCGAUAUUUAUGGUCAAAUAUCAACUGCACUGAUCCUUUCUGAAGUCUAUGCUCGAGCUGAAGAUGGAUUAAGAAUAUAUAGAUGAAACUUCAUACCAUUUCCUUAUCAUGUCUAAGCUUUGCCCUCUUGCCUUCAUUUUGAAAUUCUCGCAAUUCCAACUCUUCUUCCUGCUGCCGAAGCUCGUGCUUUUGAGCUUGCAAAUGCUGUGUCACCUUGUCAUGCUCCAGGUAUAUCUUCGCAAGAUGAUCCCGGGCAUUCUGCUGCAUCUUUUCUUAUUUCUAGCAAAAAGGAAAAGAAAGAGUCAGUUCACAAGUCAAUUUCGUUGCCAGUACUCAUUUCCCAAAAAACACAUCACACCUUCAUUAUGAGCCCUCAGCAUUUCAUCCUUUUGAGUCACUAAAUUGUCGAGGGAAUGCUUUGUUUUUUCGUACUUGCUUUCCAUCUCCAUAAGUCGCGAGCUCUCGAUCUCCAGCGUCUUCUGUAAGUCAGCAACAAGCAUUGACCGUUGGCGUUGUUCUUCUGCCUCUUUAUCGGACAAAGUUCGCAAGUGCCCUUUCUUUCUAAGGUGGUCUCCCAGUAUGCCUUUCGAAUAGUAAUCAUCAUCAUAUGCCAACCAACCAAAAAACUUGUCUCCCCUGUCCCUGGAGAUAUAAAAGUCCCUCUUCCCACGGCGCUCAAUCUCAUAGCUUUUCUCAAAAGCAAUCGCAUUACAGAAGCCCACCCAGUCUUAUUAAACUCAACAACUGCUAGUCCCGAAUGACCACGGUAGUUCCAUAGGGCCUGCACCCUCACAGGGUGGAAUCCUUUGUUUUCCAACUCCUGCCUGAUUUUGGUACCACUCUCCCAACAUGUCUUCCAUCCUUAACUUCAGUCUUGAUGUUCGCAAUUACACCCAUCCACGGCCAGACAAACUACUGAUUAUUCUUUGCUAAAGAGAGUGUUAUUGUUGAUCAUUCUUAGCUGAAGAUAGUCUUAACUGCUCAUCGUUCUUAGCUGAAGAUAGUCUUGCUGAAGAGAGUCUUAUGUUGGAAGAAUUUUCGGCAUUAACCUACCUAGAGAAGUAUUUUCUUAUGUAUCUCUCCAAUGCCAAGUGCUUGGCAAUCUCCUUAGUACUUGUCCCUUUUAAAUCUUUUGAUAUGCAUGAGGCGUGCUUUAAAAGGUCCUCGAAGAGAUAAUCACGUGCACUUCUGCAGUAUGGACACCUAUAAUGUGAAUCUGAAACUUUGAUCUUGAUAUAAUGUCCCUUCAAUUCUUGAUAAUAACGAUCUUCAUAUUCCUCCAGCUCAUAAGAAAAUACUUCUCUAGGAAAGUUAAUGCCGAAAAUUCUUCCAACAUAAGACUCUCUUCAGCUAAGGACAAUCAACAGUUAAGACUAUCUUCAGCUAAGAACGAUCAGCAGUUAACACUCUCUUCAGCAAAGAACGAUUAGCAGUUUGUUUGUCUUCUUUGUGGAACAUUUUCAUUCCUACACAUGAAAGAGAGAAUGAAAAGACAAGAUCAAGAUGAGCAUCGUCUAAGAAAACAAGCCACUCAUUUCUAAAACUCUUGAAAUGAUUUCAAACAAAUAUGACACAACAACUAAAGGUGCGUUUGUUUCACGGAAAACGUAAUGUUUUUGGAAAAUAUUUUCGAGGAAAUCAUUUUCCAAGAAAAUGGUUAGUUUUCCUUUGUUUGGUGAUAUGCGACUGAAAAUAUUUUUUGAUGUUUGGAUUGCAGUUGAAAAAUGAUUGAAAAUGUAGAAGACGCUGAUGAAGAGGAAGAGGAGGGAGUGAAGCUAAUGGGAGCGCAGGAGGGGGCUAGGGUUGGAGGAGGCGGCGGUGACGAAAAGGAGGGGGUGAAGGAGAAGGAGAGAGGGGAGGAGGAGUUAGGGUUUAUGUUCAUACGCAAAAAAGGAAAAGAGAAAAUAAGAAAAAAGAAAGAAGAAAGAAAAUAAAAGAUAUAAUAAUAACAAAUUCAAAAUUUUUAAUUAGAAAUCCUUUUUAAUUAUAAUUUUUUCAUCAAGCAAGAACCUUAAAAUAUUUUGGAAAACAUUUUUUGAUUUUUUCGAAAAAAAAAUCGUUUUUCUGAAUUUAAGUUUUUGAAGGAAAAUAUUCUACGUUGACUUAUUUUCCUAAAUGAACUAAACACUGAAAAAUGAGGAAAACGUUUAACCGGAAAUUGACACAACGACUAAGAGAAGACAGCAAGAACAUCAUCCACUGAGGAUUUGCCUGUGGGAUUGCGCAAAGCAAACGUUUCAGUUAUGAUGAUCAAAGGAAAAAAUAUUGCCUUUUUCCUCUUUUGUCCGACCGAAGGGAACGGCAGGUAUGCCUACCUAGUUCAAAUGGCCUCAUUCUACAUGAGUUCAGUCAAAUUUAAAGACGAGUAUUGAAUACCCAACAACAACAACUGCACUGUGAGAUGCGCGUCCGCAAAAGUCGGAUGGCAAGCGUGCCUGACGUCCAGCUAAUAAUGCUUUCAACAGCACUUCCAAGUUGCAAGUUAUGAUUGACCGAACUAAUCAUUUAUCGGAGCUUACCUAUUAGAUAAUAUCUGCACCAGUAUUUUUUUAUGCUGAGAACGAUGCAAUAGCUCCCAAAUGAAUAACUUACCCUGUUUUCUUCCCCGGUAGAAAACAGAGAAACGAACAGCUCCUAUUUGCGCUCUGGUUAUUCCAUUUUCCCAUUACUGAUUACCCUGAUAAUGCAUAGAUGAAACUGGAAAUCCCUCAAGCAACACGACCGAUACAAGAAAGGACAAGUUCAGGCCAACUGUAACAAGGAAACUCGCACGGCCACCACAGGGAAAAAAAAAAAAAAAAAAAGCAAAAAAAAGGGCAUGGCGACGGCAGCAUUGUCCUAGUUUCUAGCUUUCUACAUUUCAUCCGGAUACAAACCGAUCGCCACCACGAGCCGGUAGUAAAAACGCUAAGCACGCUGUCAUCUGCAUUUCCGCUUCCUCUCCUUCUUUACGGAAUCAAACAGUGCACGCCAACCGAACACGAUCUUAAACCAAAAAAUCCAUCGACGGUAAUCCAUCUCACCUCGUUCGUCCAUAGCGUACGCAGGUACUCGCCACGCCGAGCGAACCGCGAAACCCUAGACCACCCCGGUACGCUGGAGCUGCAAUAGAUCGUUCGCCCCGGGGGGGUGGCGCCGCUGCUUGAAGAGAAGAGAACGAAGACGACGGAAGGACGAGGAACGACGUGAUGAGACGAAGGACGAAGGACGGAGGACGGAGGAGGAAGGAGGAAUAGCUCAGAAACGCAUCGCGCGAUCGUCGCUCUUGCCUGCGAUAGCCCCGGUACUGGACGUACCUGCGUUUAGUGCAAUGUACUUACCAGCAUGUGUCGAGACGCACCAUCGUAUGCCCGUGACACUUACUUAGGGACAGUGAUGGUAGAACAGCAUAAGAUCCGUACCUUUGUUGAAGAAUGCGACGGGAUCGCGAGCUUAAGUAGCAUUCGGAGUAUAGUGACAGCUGUAGAUAGAUCAAUGUCGGAGGUUAGUGAAUAAUUACUUGCGGAGAGAUGCGUUCGAGCUUUUACUGUGUCUCGGGAGUAGCGACACGAUGCAGGUUUGUCGGUGCAAGCGUUUCGUCGGUUUGGAAGGGGUACGAGGUUAGUGGGAAUUCUAACGACUCUAGCUUAACUUAAUUAAGCGGUUUUUUCUAUGGGGAAGGUGAUUUGGUCGUGCUGCAUGUUGGUUGGUUGGAUUCUGGCAGCGUUUCAUUAAUGCCUGCUCUGUCAGACCGUCGGCGGAGUUCCCGUCCUCAAAUCAGUUCAGUUCGCCAAAACGCUCCUCUUCCUUUCCCACAAUUACCACCUCGUCUGCCUUAUCCAACGCACUCCGUUCCGUUUUGAGACAUGCAGUUAGUUAGUUGGAGACGACGGUUCGGUAGGUUCUGCAGAGAUUUGUGCCGAUGGGCAUCCAGACAAUGCCUUCUUUUGG